Molecule: long non-coding RNA, 1238 nt
Filed under: Anser cygnoides (Swan goose)
Lineage: Eukaryota; Metazoa; Chordata; Aves; Anseriformes; Anatidae
Description: lncRNA (ENSACDG00005010284.1)
Source: RNAcentral
CUUCUGCUUGGGCCCCCCUGUGCAGGUAGGUUUUUGGGUUUUGGGGGGGGGGGGGGGGCAGCAGUCCCUGUCUGGGACGCCUGAGAUGAGCACAGGGAGGGCCCCCAGUGUUGGGGGGGUGUUGGGGGGCUUGGAGGGGGGCACAAUGACGCACCGUGUGUCUCUGCUUCUCUUCCCGCAGGUCCAGCUCCACCAGCAGUGCCAACACCCCCCUCGGUGGGGGGCCAGGGGGGUCCCUGCAUGGCCCCCCUGCUGCGGGUGCUGCUGUGGGAGGUGCGGGGGCUGCGGGGGCAGCUGCGGGCCCUGGCCCGUGCCCAGCGGCGGGGGGCUCAGCGCCUGGAGGCUCUUGCCCGCCGCCUGGGCCGGCUGUCAGCCCUCAGCCAGCAUCUCCUGGGGGUACCACGACUGCACCCACGACGAGGACGUCGGCGUGGUCUGCCAGGACCCCUGAGCACCGCGGCUCUGCCCACGGCCAUCCCUGCUGCCAUCAGCCGUCACACCCGCCCUCCUGCGACGCUUCCAGCGGGGGGACCCCAAACCCAAACAGGACCCUGCUCGCGGCUGUCUUUGCCCCGACAAAGCCCACCAGUGGGCGUGGGAGCUCCUGCUGCAGCCCCCGAUGCCCCUUGCCCGGUUAUUAAACGCGGAGCAGCCAUAACACUGAGAUGGGGCUGCGGGUUCUCAUGCUGUGCGCUGCCUGGGGGUUCGGCAUGGGGCAGGGGUCCCGGCCGCCCCAGGUGCGGCACCGUGCCCAGCCUGGCCCCCUGCCCGGGCCCUCCCCCGCGGCCCCCUGACCCCGUUAUGAAACAUCUCGUUAGCACUAAUCCCGCCAGCCACCUGUCCGCUCCCGGCACCCAGCCCGGCCGGGGGAUGGGACCGGCUGCCUGCCAGCAGCUCUCAGUCGUGGGGCCAGGGCCAGGCCUUGCCCUGCUGGGGGGUGGGCAGGUGGAAAAACUGGGGGCAGGGGGGCUGGAUGUGGUGCAAUAGGGACGAUGAGGGGCAGGGAGUGGGGGAAUGGCAGGCAAUGGAGGGCAAAGGGGCAAGGAGUGGGGUCGUGGAACCGGGGGGGCAAAGGGGCAGGGAGUGGGGUAAUGGGAACUGAGGGGGUAGAGGGGCAGGGAAUUGGGUAAUGGGGGCCACAGGGGGCAGAGGGGCUGGGCACGGGGCAGUGAGGAGCAGAUGGGCUGGGACUGGGGGAUUGCAGUGUAGCUGUGGGGCAGAGGGGCAUGGAGUGGGGC